UGGAUAACCCUACCUAUAAGACUGGUAUAACUUCGGGAAACCGGAGCUAAUACCGGAUAAUAUAUUGAACCGCAUGGUUCAAUAGUGAAAGACGGUUUUGCUGUCACUUAUAGAUGGAUCCGCGCCGCAUUAGCUAUUGGUAAGGUAACGGCUUACCAAGGCAACGAUGCGUAGCCGACCUGAGAGGGUGAUCGGCCACACUGGAACUGAGACACGGUCCAGACUCCUACGGGAGGCAGCAGUAGGGAAUCUUCCGCAAUGGGCGAAAGCUUGACGGAGCAACGCCGCGUGAGUGAUGAAGGUCUUCGGAUCGUAAAACUCUGUUAUUAGGGAAGAACAAAUGUGUAAGUAACUAUGCACGUCUUGACGGUACCUAAUCAGAAAGCCACGGCUAACUACGUGCCAGCAGCCGCGGUAAUACGUAGGUGGCAAGCGUUAUCCGGAAUUAUUGGGCGUAAAGCGCGCGUAGGCGGCUUUUUAAGUCUGAUGUGAAAGCCCACGGCUCAACCGUGGAGGGUCAUUGGAAACUGGAAAACUUGAGCGCAGAAGAGGAAAGUGGAAUUCCAUGUGUAGCGGUGAAAUGCGCAGAGAUAUGGAGGAACACCAGUGGCGAAGGCGACUUUCUGGUCUGUAACUGACGCUGAUGUGCGAAAGCGUGGGGAUCAAACAGGAUUAGAUACCUGGUAGUCCACGCCGUAAACGAUGAGUGCUAAGUGUUAGGGGGUUUCCGCCCCUUAGUGCUGCAGCUAACGCAUUAAGCACUCCGCCUGGGGAGUACGAC
This 781-nucleotide ribosomal RNA is filed under the name uncultured Staphylococcus sp. RNAcentral's name for it is "bacterial SSU rRNA". It matches the Rfam family "Bacterial small subunit ribosomal RNA", at positions 118 to 886 of the family's 1533-position model. The record is from RNAcentral. Lineage: Bacteria; Bacillati; Bacillota; Bacilli; Caryophanales; Staphylococcaceae.